Long non-coding RNA from Dicentrarchus labrax (European seabass), 195 nucleotides. RefSeq lists it as uncharacterized. NCBI's taxonomy places the organism in Eukaryota, Metazoa, Chordata, Actinopteri, Moronidae. The transcript has 2 exons. The record is from RefSeq and is a predicted model, not a curated record.
GGUCCUGAGAGACAAGAGGGAGACUGUGAUGUCGAGUGUCGAGCGAUGCUGUGGAACUUCCUGACAAACUCACAUGGAUCCUUUCCAUAAUGCUGUCUGUCCUGUGUGAGGUCUUACCUUGAGGGAGCGGUGCAGUCUCUUGGUCUUCAGGUCCCAGAUGUUAACGCUGUGAUCCAGACCUCCACUGACCAGAAA